Non-coding RNA from Cercocebus atys (sooty mangabey), 617 nucleotides. Lineage: Eukaryota; Metazoa; Chordata; Mammalia; Primates; Cercopithecidae. The record is from the annotation of a RefSeq genome assembly.
AUGACCUCCAGUGCUGAGGAUAAAAAGGGGCUGGACCCUGCAGCUUCUGAGCAGCUGCAGGGUUGCAGGGGGGUUGGGUCGGGUGUAUUAGGAGGGUUUGUGUGCAGGGUUAUAUCACAGUGUAAUGUGUUAGGAGGUGGCACCAAGUUGACCGUCCUCGGUCAGCCCAAGGCUGCCCCCUCGGUCACUCUCUUCCCGCCCUCCUCUGAGGAGCUCCAAGCAAACAAGGCCACACUAGUGUGUCUGAUCAGUGACUUCUACCCGGGAGCCGUGGAAGUGGCCUGGAAGGCAGAUGGCAGCGCUGUCAACGCGGGAGUGGAGACCACCAAACCCUCCAAACAGAGCAACAACAAGUACGCGGCCAGCAGCUACCUGAGCCUGACGUCCGACCAGUGGAAGUCCCACAAGAGCUACAGCUGCCAGGUCACGCACGAAGGGAGCACCGUGGAGAAGACAGUGGCCCCUGCAGAAUGUUCAUAGGUUCCCAACCCUCACCUCACCCACUGGGGCCUGGAGCUGCAGGAUCCCAGGAGAGGGGUCUCUCUGCAUCCCAAGCCAUUCAGCCCUUCUCCCUGCACUCAAGAAACCUUCAAUAAAUAUCUUCAGUCAACCAAAAA